Molecule: ribosomal RNA, 279 nt
Filed under: uncultured bacterium
Lineage: Bacteria
Description: partial 16S ribosomal RNA
Rfam family: Bacterial small subunit ribosomal RNA
Source: RNAcentral
UGCCAGCCGCCGCGGUAAUACGUACCGGACAAACGUUAUUCGGAAUCACUGGGCUUAAAGAGUACGUAGGCUGCCUUGAAGGUGAGGUGUGAAAUCCCACGGCCCAACCGUGGAACUGCGUUUGAAACUACAAGGCUUGAGGGAGAUAGGGGUGAGCGGAACUGAUGGUGGAGCGGUGAAAUGCGUUGAUAUCAUCAGGAACACCGGUGGCGAAGGCGGCUCACUGGGUCUCUUCUGACGCUGAGGCACGAAAGCUAGGGGAGCGAACGGGAUUAGAUA